AGUGAACUUAAGCCCCAGGAAACGGCGGCCGUAACUAUAACGGGCCUAAGGUAGCGAAAUUCCUUGUCGGGUAAGUUCCGACCCGCACGAAAGGCGUAACGAUUUGGGCAAUGUCUCAACAACAGACUCGGUGAAAUUGUAAUGCCGGUGAAGAUGCCGGAUACCUGCGACAGGACGGAAAGACCCCAUGGAGCUUUACUGUAGCUUGACAUUGGGUCUUGGUACUACAUGUACAGGAUAGGUGGGAGGCUUUGAAACCAGGACGCCAGUUUUGGCGGAGCCAUCCUUGGGAUACCACCCUUGUAGUACUGGGACUCUAACCAUAUGCCAUGAAUCUGGUCUUGGGACACUGUCAGGUGGGCAGUUUGACUGGGGCGGUCGCCUCCCAAAAGG
Molecule: ribosomal RNA, 393 nt
Filed under: Clostridioides difficile
Lineage: Bacteria; Bacillati; Bacillota; Clostridia; Peptostreptococcales; Peptostreptococcaceae
Description: bacterial LSU rRNA
Rfam family: Bacterial large subunit ribosomal RNA
Source: RNAcentral